ACGGUCCUAAGGUAGCGAAAUUCCUUGUCAGGUAAGUUCUGACCCGCACGAAAGGUGUAAUGUCUUUGGGCACUGUCUCAACAGGGGACUCGGUGAAAUCAAACUGCCGGUGAAAAUGCCGGCUACCCGCGAUUAGACGGAAAGACCCCAUGGAGCUUUACUGUAGGUUGAUAUUGAUAUUUGGUAUGUAAUGUACAGGAUAGGUGGGAGACUAUGAAGCUAGGACGUUAGUCUUGGUGGAGUCGACGUUGGGAUACCACCCUUUGCCUAUCGAGUAUCUAACUAGUGUAAGUGGAUUACAAAGGACAGUGUCAGUUGGGCAGUUUGACUGGGGCGGUCGCCUCCUAAAGAGUAACGGAGGCGCUCGAAGGUUCCCUCAGAAUGGUUGGAAAUCAUUCGCAGAGUGUAAACGCAGAAGGGAGCUUGACUGCAAGACAAACAAGUCGAGCAGGGACGAAAGUCGGAGUUAGUGAUCUUACGGUACCGCGUGGAAGGGCCGUGACUCAACGGAUAAAAGCUACCCUGGGGAUAACAGGCUGAUCACGCCCAAGCGUUCACAGCGACGGCGUGGUUUGGCACCUCGAUGUCGGCUCGUCGCAUCCUGGAGGUGGAUAAGCUUCCAAGGGUUGGGCUGUUCGCCCAUUAAAGCGGCACGCGAGCUGGGUUCAAAACGUCGUGAGACAGUUUGGUCCCUAUCUGUCGUGGGCGUUGGAAAUUUGAAGAGAGCUGUCCUUAGUACGAGAGGACCGGGAUGGACAUACCACUGGUGUACCAGUUAGCCUGCCAGGGCUAUAAGCUGGGUAGCUACGUAUGGAACGGAUAAACGCUGAAAGCAUCUAAGCGUGAAGCCUCCUCUAAGAUUAGAUUUCCCACAGAAAUGGUAAGACCCCUUAUAGACUAUAAGGUUGAUAGGCUAGGUGUGGAAGCGCAGUGAUGCGUGGAGCUGACUAGUACUAAUAGGUCGAGGACUUAACCUA
RNAcentral lists this ribosomal RNA (977 nucleotides) under human gut metagenome. RNAcentral's name for it is "bacterial LSU rRNA". It matches the Rfam family "Bacterial large subunit ribosomal RNA", at positions 1945 to 2925 of the family's 2925-position model. The record is from RNAcentral.